Long non-coding RNA from Nyctereutes procyonoides (raccoon dog), 354 nucleotides. RefSeq lists it as uncharacterized. The transcript is spliced from 3 exons. Lineage: Eukaryota; Metazoa; Chordata; Mammalia; Carnivora; Canidae. The record is from RefSeq and is a predicted model, not a curated record.
GAUUUUCAAAGCACUAGAAGACUCCAGAAUGGCAUAUAGAGUAAGAGGUAUUACUGCUUCUAACAGCGGAUAAUUCAAAACCUCCUGGACCCUUUUCUGACCAGACUCUCAGGGCUGAGAACUCUGUGAAAGAAACCGGAAGAUUUUCACUUUUGCGACAAAAGGCAAAAAACAAAAAUAGCAUUCAGCAUUGAUUUUGCAACAGCCGUUACUGAGGCAGCCCUGAGGGGCUGGAGCAUCUCCGUGUCAAGCUGCCAGAGUGUGGACAUGUGUCUGUGUUUACUGUUGAAUUCAGGUUGGCCUCAGUCUGCACCGAUUGGCUCUGGUCUCUCUGGUAGAGUAUGUCCCCUCGGC